AAAUAUUGGUCCUGACAUUAUUUCAUUUUAUGUUUUUUUUAUCUGGAAAGAUAUUUCUUUUUGUUCUUUGUCUGAAACCUUCGACAAUUUUCCAAUCUGAGAAAAUAAUUUUUGUCGGCCGAUCGACGAAGCUGUAUCGAAAUCCAUCCGAAAUUCACUUCCAUCGUCUUCGCUUAUACAUCAAUUCUUUGCAAAUUAUAAGAUCUUAAAAGAGAUUAGUAGCCAUAUUUCAAUGGGUUCUCAAAAGAAGAAGAAGAAUGAAGAUAAGUUUUUUUUUUAUCCAGAUUAUUGUAUAACUUGAGCACUUUAUUGCAAAAUGCUCCUGCUUCAUUAUUCUUUAGCUGAAUGUUAGAUUCAUGAUACAAAGUUCAAUGUUUGCAGGCGAAGUAGAAUUUUGCGCACAUAAUUCUUAUGGAGCUGAAGCAGUAACAGUUUAAUUUGGAGCAUUCUUGAAAUAUAAUUUGACAAAUGAUCAAUUUGAAGUUGGAUUCUUAAGGAGGGAAGAGAUUUGGUGUUGUAAUUAGAGGUUUUUAAAGAUCUAUAUUUAAAAAGGCUGUGCUAUCUUACCAUCACCAACUGCUAGAAUCCACUCUGAAAAUAACACAAAUGUUUGAGAGGUAUGCUUUGGGUUUGAGAGCUAUUUAGGAGGAGGUAACUCUUCCUUGACAGUUCUGUGAUGGGAAGAGCCAUUGUUUGAGAGAUCUACCAAUUGCGAGAGAAAUAUAAAGGCCCAAGAUCGACUAAGCCCAAUAAGCUCAUUAUGCACUUCUGGAUAGAGAUCCGACUGCUGGCUCCAAGAUCCGCUGGUAAUGGAUCCAAGAUCCGCGUGUAAUUGCCCUUGAAAUUGUCCAUUAUACCCUCUGACGAUUUCUGUUUUUUAGUCGUUGGUUUAAAAUUUUCCAAUGACAUUCUAUUGUAAUUUUUUACACUUUAUUUGGUUAGUUUAGUUUAGUAUAGAUUAUAAGAUAA
Arabidopsis lyrata subsp. lyrata is the source of this 969-nucleotide long non-coding RNA. RefSeq lists it as uncharacterized. The record is from RefSeq and is a predicted model, not a curated record. NCBI's taxonomy places the organism in Eukaryota, Viridiplantae, Streptophyta, Magnoliopsida, Brassicales, Brassicaceae. The transcript is spliced from 5 exons.